GNNGACGCUGGCGGCAUGCCUAAUACAUGCAAGUCGAACGAGAGACACUUCGGUGGCUCUAGUGGCGAACGGGUGAGUAACACGUAAGGAACUUGCCCCAAAGACGAGGAUAACCACGGGAAACCGUGGCUAAUACUGGAUAGGACACGACCCCGCAUGGGGAUGUGUUUAAAGGCGCUUUUAAGCGUCGCAUUAGGAGAGCCUUGCGCAGCAUUAGCUAGUUGGUAGGGUAACGGCCUACCAAGGCAACGAUGCUUAGCUGGAUUGAGAGGUUGAACAGCCACACUGGUACUGAGACACGGACCAGACUCCUACGGGAGGCAGCAGUAGGGAAUUUUCGUCAAUGUGGGAAACCGCGAACGAGCAAUGCCGCGUGAACGAUGAAGAUCUUCGGAUCGUAAAGUUCUGUUGUUAAGGAAGAACAGUUUUGCUAGGAAAUGAGCAGGAUUUGACGGUACUUAACCAGAAAGCUCCGGCUAACUACGUGCCAGCAGCCGCGGUAAUACGUAGGGGGCAAGCGUUAUCCGGAAUUACUGGGCGUAAAGGGUGCGUAGGCGGUUCGGUAAGUCAGAGGUGAAAGACUAUUGCUCAACGAUAGCAAGCCUUUGAAACUACCGAACUUGAGUGCAGGAGAGGAGAGUGGAAUUUCUAGUGUAGCGGUGAAAUGCGUAGAUAUUAGAAGGAACACCCAGUGGCGAAGGCGACUCUCUGGACUGCAACUGACGCUGAGGCACGAAAGCGUGGGGAGCAAACAGGAUUAGAUACCCUGGUAGUCCACGCCAUAAACGA
This 789-nucleotide ribosomal RNA is filed under the name uncultured bacterium. RNAcentral's name for it is "bacterial SSU rRNA". It matches the Rfam family "Bacterial small subunit ribosomal RNA", at positions 29 to 809 of the family's 1533-position model. The record is from RNAcentral.